RNAcentral lists this long non-coding RNA (207 nucleotides) under Homo sapiens (human). RNAcentral's name for it is "HSALNT0309934". Lineage: Eukaryota; Metazoa; Chordata; Mammalia; Primates; Hominidae. The record is from RNAcentral.
GUUAGGGUUAGGGUUAGGGUUAGGGUUAGGGUUAGGGUUAGGGUAGGGUUAGGGUUAGGGUUAGGGUUAGGGUUAGGGUUAGGGGUAGGGUUAGGGGUAGGGUUGGGGUUGGGGUAGGGGUAGGGUUAGGGUUAGGGUUAGGGUUAGGGUUAGGGUUAGGGUUAGGGUUGGGGUUAGGGUUAGGGUUAGGGUAGGGUUAGGGUUAGG